This 1554-nucleotide ribosomal RNA is filed under the name Neisseria gonorrhoeae. RNAcentral describes it as "bacterial SSU rRNA". It matches the Rfam family "Bacterial small subunit ribosomal RNA". RNAcentral also lists the same sequence under 21 other names. The record is from RNAcentral. Lineage: Bacteria; Pseudomonadati; Pseudomonadota; Betaproteobacteria; Neisseriales; Neisseriaceae.
AGAGAUUGAACAUAAGAGUUUGAUCCUGGCUCAGAUUGAACGCUGGCGGCAUGCUUUACACAUGCAAGUCGGACGGCAGCACAGGGAAGCUUGCUUCUCGGGUGGCGAGUGGCGAACGGGUGAGUAACAUAUCGGAACGUACCGGGUAGCGGGGGAUAACUGAUCGAAAGAUCAGCUAAUACCGCAUACGUCUUGAGAGGGAAAGCAGGGGACCUUCGGGCCUUGCGCUAUCCGAGCGGCCGAUAUCUGAUUAGCUGGUUGGCGGGGUAAAGGCCCACCAAGGCGACGAUCAGUAGCGGGUCUGAGAGGAUGAUCCGCCACACUGGGACUGAGACACGGCCCAGACUCCUACGGGAGGCAGCAGUGGGGAAUUUUGGACAAUGGGCGCAAGCCUGAUCCAGCCAUGCCGCGUGUCUGAAGAAGGCCUUCGGGUUGUAAAGGACUUUUGUCAGGGAAGAAAAGGCCGUUGCCAAUAUCGGCGGCCGAUGACGGUACCUGAAGAAUAAGCACCGGCUAACUACGUGCCAGCAGCCGCGGUAAUACGUAGGGUGCGAGCGUUAAUCGGAAUUACUGGGCGUAAAGCGGGCGCAGACGGUUACUUAAGCAGGAUGUGAAAUCCCCGGGCUCAACCCGGGAACUGCGUUCUGAACUGGGUGACUCGAGUGUGUCAGAGGGAGGUGGAAUUCCACGUGUAGCAGUGAAAUGCGUAGAGAUGUGGAGGAAUACCGAUGGCGAAGGCAGCCUCCUGGGAUAACACUGACGUUCAUGUCCGAAAGCGUGGGUAGCAAACAGGAUUAGAUACCCUGGUAGUCCACGCCCUAAACGAUGUCAAUUAGCUGUUGGGCAACUUGAUUGCUUGGUAGCGUAGCUAACGCGUGAAAUUGACCGCCUGGGGAGUACGGUCGCAAGAUUAAAACUCAAAGGAAUUGACGGGGACCCGCACAAGCGGUGGAUGAUGUGGAUUAAUUCGAUGCAACGCGAAGAACCUUACCUGGUUUUGACAUGUGCGGAAUCCUCCGGAGACGGAGGAGUGCCUUCGGGAGCCGUAACACAGGUGCUGCAUGGCUGUCGUCAGCUCGUGUCGUGAGAUGUUGGGUUAAGUCCCGCAACGAGCGCAACCCUUGUCAUUAGUUGCCAUCAUUCGGUUGGGCACUCUAAUGAGACUGCCGGUGACAAGCCGGAGGAAGGUGGGGAUGACGUCAAGUCCUCAUGGCCCUUAUGACCAGGGCUUCACACGUCAUACAAUGGUCGGUACAGAGGGUAGCCAAGCCGCGAGGCGGAGCCAAUCUCACAAAACCGAUCGUAGUCCGGAUUGCACUCUGCAACUCGAGUGCAUGAAGUCGGAAUCGCUAGUAAUCGCAGGUCAGCAUACUGCGGUGAAUACGUUCCCGGGUCUUGUACACACCGCCCGUCACACCAUGGGAGUGGGGGAUACCAGAAGUAGGUAGGGUAACCGCAAGGAGUCCGCUUACCACGGUAUGCUUCAUGACUGGGGUGAAGUCGUAACAAGGUAGCCGUAGGGGAACCUGCGGCUGGAUCACCUCCUUUCUAGAG